GCGGAGGAAAAGAAACCAACAGGGAUUGCCUCAGUAACGGCGAGUGAAGCGGCAACAGCUCAAAUUUGAAAUCUGGCCCUUUCAGGGUCCGAGUUGUAAUUUGUAGAGGGUGCUUCGGCGUCGGCCGUGGUCUAAGUUCCUUGGAACAGGACGUCACAGAGGGUGAGAAUCCCGUACGUGGCCGCCGGCCUUCGCCAUGUGAAGCCCCUUCGACGAGUCGAGUUGUUUGGGAAUGCAGCUCUAAAUGGGAGAUAAAUUUCUUCUAAAGCUAAAUAUUGGCCAGAGACCGAUAGCGCACAAGUAGAGUGAUCGAAAGAUGAAAAGCACUUUGGAAAGAGAGUCAAAAAGCACGUGAAAUUGUUGAAAGGGAAGCGCUUGCAGCCAGACGUGCCCGCAGUUGCUCACCUGGGCUCUCGCCCGGGGCACUCUUCUGCGGGCAGGCCAGCAUCAGUUCGGGCGGUCGGAUAAAGGCCUCUGUCACGUACCACCCUCCGGGGUGGCCUUAUAGGGGAGGCGCAACACGGCCAGCCUGAACUGAGGACCGCGCAUCAGCUAGGAUGCUGGCGUAAUGGCUGUAAGCGGCCCGUCUUGAAACACGGACCAAGGAGUCUAACAUCUAUGCGAGUGUUUGGGUGUCAAGCCCGGGCGCGCAAUGAAAGUGAACGUAGGUGGGAACCCUUCGGGGCGCACCAUCGACCGAUCCUGAAGUCUUCGGAUGGAUUUGAGUAAGAGCAUAGCUGUUGGGACCCGAAAGAUGGUGAACUAUGCCUGAAUAGGGUGAAGCCAGGGGAAACCCUGGUGGAGGCUCGCAGCGGUUCUGACGUGCAAAUCGAUCGUCAAAUUUGGGCAUAGGGGCGAAAGACUAAUCGAACCAUCUAGUAGCUGGUUCUG
RNAcentral lists this small RNA (891 nucleotides) under Parathyridaria percutanea. RNAcentral's name for it is "eukaryotic LSU rRNA". It matches the Rfam family "Eukaryotic large subunit ribosomal RNA", at positions 50 to 959 of the family's 3401-position model. The record is from RNAcentral. Lineage: Eukaryota; Fungi; Ascomycota; Dothideomycetes; Pleosporales; Thyridariaceae.